RNAcentral lists this unclassified non-coding RNA (144 nucleotides) under uncultured fungus. RNAcentral's name for it is "sequence contains ITS1". The record is from RNAcentral. Lineage: Eukaryota; Fungi.
AAAAACAAAGAAGACGAGGCAGCGAUGGUGGAAUAGAUGAGGUUGUGUAUGGUCCGACUUUGAGAUAUUGAAGUGAAGUGAGACGGGACAAGGGAGUGAAAUCGUGAAUGUCGUUUUCACUGAGGUCGAGACAUGUGAGCGAUG